CCUCCCUUAGUGGGAGAGUUGCCACCGGAUCCCAUAAGAACUCCGAAGUUAAGCGUGCUCGGGUAGGAGUAGUCCCCCGAUGGGUGACCUCCCUGGGAAGUCC
RNAcentral lists this ribosomal RNA (103 nucleotides) under Spirodela intermedia. The record is from RNAcentral. Lineage: Eukaryota; Viridiplantae; Streptophyta; Magnoliopsida; Alismatales; Araceae.